Mobula hypostoma (lesser devil ray) is the source of this 1097-nucleotide long non-coding RNA. RefSeq lists it as uncharacterized. Lineage: Eukaryota; Metazoa; Chordata; Chondrichthyes; Myliobatiformes; Myliobatidae. The record is from RefSeq and is a predicted model, not a curated record. The transcript is spliced from 3 exons.
CUGGGCGGCAUUGUCGGUGCCUGGGGGACUCGGGACCCGCACAUCGUGCAGUAGGCAGAUGGGCAACCACGAGGACUGAUGUGUGUUCCCUGGACCUCCUUUUGCUGUUGUACCCAGAUGCCAUAUUGACCGGAAGUCCAGGUGAAGGUCAAGGGAGAAGAGAGAAGACGCCGGAGAGAAGAGGUCAUAGGAGUCGACCCAGAGUGGGGCCGUGAUUCGACGAAGCCCGGGGAGAUCGAGGGAAGAUCGGCGAAGGGGAAACCAUGAGCUCCAACUUGUGCACACUAGACUGUUUCAUUAAAAUGGGCACUUUUCUUUUUUUGUUUUUUCUUUACUAACCCUUUAGUCAAAUUAAGAAUUAUAAAGUUAAAUCAUUUAAUUGUAUGUGGUGUACUGUCCAUUUUGUGGUACUGAUUUGUAACCGGGUAACGAAUCACGCAGCAUUCACACAAACGGGUUUCGGGAUGGGCUCGCGCCUCAAUUUCCCCUGUUUGACGGGGCUGGAGAUUGUCCCCCCUAGACAUACGCAGCCGAUGGAACUGGAGUGUUUCAUCGUGGGGGCUCGUCCGGGAUCGAUUUCAUUGGAUGCUGUGUGAUUGCCCUGAGCAUUGAUCCAGUGGGUUGUGUGUUUAAGUCUGUGUUAAACUAUUGUCCAGUAAAGUGAUUACGGUAUGUGGUUAUGGAUUGCUCGGAGAUCAGUUUUACUGGCCCCUAAUGAAGCCGGAGGUCGAAGAGUAAUGCAGGCCCUGCAUUCGAUGCAUUCAGAGGAAGACGCUGCCUACGAGGGCCACUCUAUUGUCCCAUUUGCAGAGUGCAGGGCCCCUUGACCUGGUGUGAAUGAAUUUCCUGUCAAUAGAGCCUGAUGCCAACAACAUGGUGAAUGUUUUGGUCAUUACGGAUCACUACACCAGAUAUGCGCAAGCUUUCCUUGCCAAGGAUCAGAGGGCAUCCACAGUAGCCACAGUGUUAUGGGAGAGGUAUUUCAUUGACUAUGACCUCCCCAGGCAGAUGCAUAGUGAUCAGGGAGUAGGCUCAUACAUGAGUUACUGGGUAUCGUAAACACAAAAUAAUCUGCAGAUGCUGGGGUCAAAGCAGCA